Molecule: long non-coding RNA, 380 nt
Filed under: Fragaria vesca (wild strawberry)
Lineage: Eukaryota; Viridiplantae; Streptophyta; Magnoliopsida; Rosales; Rosaceae
Description: long non-coding RNA (FVES_LNC004420)
Source: RNAcentral
UCUAGAGAAGGUUAGGAGUAGUAGUUCUCCUACUUCCUCUGUGCAUCAGAAUUCUCAGUACACCCAUUUUGGUGCCAGUUCCAUGAACUAUAUGGCUAAUCCAUUUCAUGCAGCUCAUUUGAAUGCAAAUCAGUAUAUGGGUUUUGCUCCUACUGCUCAUGUUAGUACUGUGGAACCUUUUUUACUGCCAUUUCCCAAUUACCAUUCACCAAACAUUCAAGCUCCACUCCCUUACCACACAUUCACACAACACAUACCACCUAGUGCUCAUAGCAGCUCGUACAGCCAGUACACUCACCCUAUAGUGUCUAAUAACACAUAUUCUCCACACCCAAUUUUUGGAGCUCAGUCAGCUAAUGGGGCGUGGCUGCAGACUACAC